This 253-nucleotide ribosomal RNA is filed under the name Roseburia inulinivorans DSM 16841. Its description in RNAcentral is "partial 16S ribosomal RNA". It matches the Rfam family "Bacterial small subunit ribosomal RNA", at positions 524 to 776 of the family's 1533-position model. The record is from RNAcentral. Lineage: Bacteria; Bacillati; Bacillota; Clostridia; Lachnospirales; Lachnospiraceae.
UACGUAUGGUGCAAGCGUUAUCCGGAUUUACUGGGUGUAAAGGGAGCGCAGGCGGAAGGCUAAGUCUGAUGUGAAAGCCCGGGGCUCAACCCCGGUACUGCAUUGGAAACUGGUCAUCUAGAGUGUCGGAGGGGUAAGUGGAAUUCCUAGUGUAGCGGUGAAAUGCGUAGAUAUUAGGAGGAACACCAGUGGCGAAGGCGACUUACUGGACGAUAACUGACGCUGAGGCUCGAAAGCGUGGGGAGCAAACAGG